AUUGACCUCAAUCAGAGACC
RNAcentral lists this ribosomal RNA (20 nucleotides) under uncultured Glomus. RNAcentral describes it as "partial 28S ribosomal RNA". The record is from RNAcentral. Lineage: Eukaryota; Fungi; Glomeromycota; Glomeromycetes; Glomerales; Glomeraceae.